GAUGAACGCUGGCGGCGUGCCUAAUACAUGCAAGUCGAGCGAAUGGAUUAAGAGCUUGCUCUUAUGAAGUUAGCGGCGGACGGGUGAGUAACACGUGGGUAACCUGCCCACAAGACUGGGAUAACUCCGGGAAGCCGGGGCUAAUACCGGAUAACAUUUUGAACCGCAUGGUUCGAAAUUGAAAGGCGGCUUCGGCUGUCACUUAUGGAUGGACCCGCGUCGCAUUAGCUAGUUGGUGAGGUAACGGCUCACCAAGGCAACGAUGCGUAGCCGACCUGGGAGGGUGAUCGGCCACACUGGGACUGAGACACGGCCCAGACUCCUACGGGAGGCAGCAGUAGGGAAUCUUCCGCAAUGGACGAAAGUCUGACGGAGCAACGCCGCGUGAGUGAUGAAGGCUUUCGGGUCGUAAAACUCUGUUGUUAGGGAAGAACAAGUGCUAGUUGAAUAAGCUGGCACCUUGACGGUACCUAACCAGAAAGCCACGGCUAACUACGUGCCAGCCGCCGCGGUAA
RNAcentral lists this ribosomal RNA (515 nucleotides) under uncultured bacterium. Its description in RNAcentral is "partial 16S ribosomal RNA". It matches the Rfam family "Bacterial small subunit ribosomal RNA", at positions 28 to 523 of the family's 1533-position model. The record is from RNAcentral.